Molecule: ribosomal RNA, 449 nt
Filed under: uncultured bacterium
Lineage: Bacteria
Description: partial 16S ribosomal RNA
Rfam family: Bacterial small subunit ribosomal RNA
Source: RNAcentral
AGCGAACGCUGGCGGCAGGCCUAACACAUGUAAGUCGAACGAACUCUUCGGAGUUAGUGGCGGACGGGUGAGUAACACGUGGGAACGUGCCUUUAGGUUCGGGAUAACUCAGGGAAACUUGUGCUAAUACCGAAUGUGCCCUUCGGGGGAAAGAUUUAUCGCCUUUAGAGCGGCCCGCGUCUGAUUAGCUAGUUGGUGAGGUAACGGCUCACCAAGGCGACGAUCAGUAGCUGGUCUGAGAGGAUGGCCAGCCACACUGGGACUGAGACACGGCCCAGACUCCUACGGGAGGCAGCGGUGGGGAAUCUUGCGCAAUGGGCGAAAGCCUGACGCAGCCAUGCCGCGUGAAUGAUGAAGGUCUUAGGAUUGUAAAAUUCUUUCACCGGGGACGAUAAUGACGGUACCCGGAGAAGAAGCCCCGGCUGACUUCGUGCCAGCCGCCGCGGUAA